This 270-nucleotide unclassified non-coding RNA is filed under the name Hevea brasiliensis (rubber tree). The record is from RNAcentral. Lineage: Eukaryota; Viridiplantae; Streptophyta; Magnoliopsida; Malpighiales; Euphorbiaceae.
GUAUACCAUCAUUGCAAAUAUUGUUUGGUGUGAUUCCGAGCUUUAGAAAUUAGAAUCAAUUCCUUUCAGAAAGAUGAUGGAUCUUCUAUCCUUGUUUUCAUUCUAGCUGGAGCAGUCUUUUCAUGUCCACCGCUUAUUUUUCUGCUGUGCUUGGAUCAUGGAUGUUGCAAUUGCAAUUUAUUAAGCAAUAAAAAAGACACAGAAUCACCUACUCUGAAUAUCUGAAGAUGUAUUGGUUCUCACUUAUGGCAAACCUGUUGGGAAUACUUG